GGAUUUUGAUUCCCUAUCAAUUCUCAAAUAUGAAACCCCUCCUCCUGCCUUAGGUUCUACGAGCAGUCAAGCGCCAUUAGCGUAACACAACGAAUCAGGAGCAAUUCCGAGCUAUGAGGACGUUAAAGAGUGUUUUGGAGCUAAUAUGGAGUAUUGAAGGCCAAUUGGAGGUUAGCGCGCUUAAAAAGAAGAAAGAAACAAUGCUGCAUAAAAUCCUCCAGGUGCGCAGUCUAUGCGCGGUCUAUGCGCGGCCGUGCAUUGGGCCACGCAUGACAGGCAGAAACUGGCCAAAGUGCGCAGUCGAUGCGCGGCCGCACACGCACUUCCGAGAAAAAUAGUCCAAGGCCAAUUUUGUAAUUUGAAAGGCGAUUAACCUUGACCUAUAUGAAGCCCAACUCGCCCAAAAAGAGGGUAUCUCUGUUUUUAGAAGAACUUUGGAGGUAAGAACACAAAAUGAGCAAGACGGAGAAUUCUCCUACUAGUUUUUCAUCUUCUUCUUCUUCUUCUUCUUAAUUCCAUUGUUGGAUAUGACUUUUUAUAUUGUAAUUGUGCAUAAUAGUAUGAGUAGCUAAACCCGUCAUAUAGGGUUGAUAGAACUAAUUGUUGGAUGAAGUCUUGAUUACGUUUUGAUAUAAUUGAGCCGUUUUUACU
Long non-coding RNA from Nicotiana tabacum (common tobacco), 651 nucleotides. RefSeq lists it as uncharacterized. NCBI's taxonomy places the organism in Eukaryota, Viridiplantae, Streptophyta, Magnoliopsida, Solanales, Solanaceae. The record is from RefSeq and is a predicted model, not a curated record.